GACGAACGCUGGCGGCGUGCUUAACACAUGCAAGUCGAACGGAAAGGCCCUGCUUUUGUGGGGUGCUCGAGUGGCGAACGGGUGAGUAACACGUGAGUAACCUGCCCUUGACUUUAGGAUAACUUCAGGAAACUGGGGCUAAUACCGGAUAGGAGCUCCUGCUGCAUGGUGGGGGUUGGAAAGUUUCGGCGGUUGGGGAUGGACUCGCGGCUUAUCAGCUUGUUGGUGGGGUAGUGGCUUACCAAGGCUUUGACGGGUAGCCGGCCUGAGAGGGUGACCGGCCACAUUGGGACUGAGAUACGGCCCAGACUCCUACGGGAGGCAGCAGUGGGGAAUAUUGCACAAUGGGCGGAAGCCUGAUGCAGCAACGCCGCGUGCGGGAUGACGGCCUUCGGGUUGUAAACCGCUUUCGCCUGUGACGAAGCGUGAGUGACGGUAAUGGGUAAAGAAGCACCGGCUAACUACGUG
This 468-nucleotide ribosomal RNA is filed under the name uncultured bacterium. RNAcentral's name for it is "partial 16S ribosomal RNA". It matches the Rfam family "Bacterial small subunit ribosomal RNA", at positions 28 to 507 of the family's 1533-position model. The record is from RNAcentral.